Molecule: non-coding RNA, 32 nt
Filed under: Geobacter sulfurreducens PCA
Lineage: Bacteria; Pseudomonadati; Thermodesulfobacteriota; Desulfuromonadia; Geobacterales; Geobacteraceae
Source: RNAcentral
AGGUUGGGUGUGGCUUCCUACGAUUUUGAGCA